This is a long non-coding RNA of Aedes albopictus (Asian tiger mosquito), 950 nucleotides long. RefSeq lists it as uncharacterized. Lineage: Eukaryota; Metazoa; Arthropoda; Insecta; Diptera; Culicidae. The transcript has 2 exons. The record is from RefSeq and is a predicted model, not a curated record.
AUCAGUUAUCUUCCAGUCCUGCCACCCUUGCAUCCAACAACCGCAACACUCGAUUCGCGGCCGUUCAAGUUUCGAACAUCACCGAUUCCUGCGAUUUUCCGUACCUGGUGACUCGGUCAGCUAGUAGCGUCAGUUAUCUUCCAGCCCUGCCACCUUUGCAUCCAACAACCGCAACACACGACUCGCGGCCGUUCAUGUUUCGGGCCUCGAACAUCACCGAUCAGCGAUUCCUGCGACUUCCCGUACCUGGUGACUCGGUCAGCUAGUAGCCUCAGGUAUCUUCCAGUCCGUCGACAAUUACAGUCCUGCCACCCCUGCAUCCAACAACCGCAACACUCGAUUCGCGGCCGUUCAAGUUUUGAACAUCACCGAUUCCUGCGAUCUCCCGUACCUGGUGACUCGGUCAGCUGGUAGCAUCAGUUAUCUUCCAGGUAACAUGAUUAGUAUAUGUCUGGCCGAAGCCAGUGAUACUGCGCCCGUUUAAGUUCGUUUACAAUUACAGCCCUCCCACCUUCUGUCUACACCAACCCCAUCAUUCAAAUGUUUCGAGGUCCAGGAUAACGAGCGCGAUAAAUCCGUGCUACCAAAUCAGCUAACAUCAACAGCAUUCCGUCACAUUGAUACCAGUUGUUACUGAGGCUUUAUUGGAACUGAUGUCCUGGUCUGCGUCUGGUCAACGUUUCUACGACAAUUUCAUUGUGACUGCGCCGUGACCUCCUGUAUACAAAGUUUUUCCGAUGUGAUGCUAAGCUGCCGCUAUUGAUCUAGGAAUGCUUACUAACCAAAUCCAUGAUGAAUUAAAGCGAUUAUUGUACGUGAUAUACUAAUAUUAGCCAAUAAGUUGUAAAUUUUCUGUUAAUUAAUUUAAUUACACUUCCUUUAAAGAGAAUAACUUCUCACUGGAAGUGUAAAUACUUUGUACUUUUUUGAAAUAUAUGAAAAGAAGAGUA